CUCAAGUAUGCAUAUUUAUGUUUAGAUAAGUAAGACAAACUUACCAGAUCAUACAAUUUUAAUUGAAUCCCUGCCUAAAGAUUAGCUCUUAAAAGAAGUUAACAGUGUCAGUUUACACAUGAAUAAAUAAAAAUUGAAAAAAAUAAAAAUCAAUAUUGAUGUUUAAUUUUAUAAUAUAUUCCUUUUUUAGUGAGUAACUGAGCUACAUGGAAUGGGGGCAUUGAAUUCGCCCAUGUGUAGAUCUGAAUCAUAACAGUACUCUAUAACCCUGGACAAGUCCUUUAGCUUUAGAGACCAUGUUUUCUAUUCUAUAAGUGUUAUUAAUAAUACUACUUUCCUCAGAGGGUCAUUGUGGAGAUUUAAUAAAAUAAUGCAACAGUAAGUUUUUAGAAUAUAAUCUGAUAAAUGGCAAAUUAUUAUUCUUAAAUUAUUUCACUUUUUAAAGUAAAACCUAUUUUUCACAAUUUCAGAAAUUGCUAUUUCUAUUAUAAUGAUCUACCAUAGCUUUCUAAUAGGCUAUCUAUUAAUCAUCAGAUGAUAGGUUUUCUUCUUGGGAAUGAUUUUCAAACAGAAUGAUAGAAAUUUAAAGGUAGAGUCUUAUAAAGAUGAUAACAUAGGAAUCAGAACUACUUGUUAAAAUAAUUAUUUGUAUUAUAUAGUUGUAUCAUCUUAGUGAGUUGGGGUGGGGUUGGGGGACAGUUGGGCUGAAAGUGGAUUAACUGAGGCCAAUUUUCCCUCAUCUUUGUUACCCAGAUUCCAGGGAAAGAUCAAUUACUCUGGACAGAAGGACCCCUUGCAUAAAGUGGCUGCUUCAACUGCUCUGACCACAGCACUUUCACUGACUACAACUCUAGACACAGUAACUAUUUGGGCACACCACAAUAAACUGACAGGCACCUUCCACUCCCUGUAUUAAGCCAAGCAUUCAUUAGCUACUUUUCCUGAUGCUCUCCCUCUUCCUCAUCACCGUUAUGCAGCAAUGAAAGGGGACAAGAUCAUGUCCUUAGCAGGAACAUGGAUGGAGCUGGAGGCCAUUAUAUUCAGCAAACGAAUGCAGGAGCUGGAGAUGCAGCAAGGAAGACAGCUAUGACCACUGCUCCAAAGUACUUAUGAGAACAGACUCAAAAUUAACAUGUGAACGAAUAGAUAAUGACAGUGAUAAGAUCACAGAGGGGAUAAUACAGAGGAUAUAUUAGAGAACUAUUUGAACGUAUCUAAAUGGCAGAGGGGAAUUCUCACUGAAGCUUUUUUUGGUGGGGUGACAUUUAAUCUAAAAUCUGAGUAACAGUAGGAGGACUGUCUUUCCAAAUGAUUUGGAAAAGCAUUGCAAGCAGAAAGGAAAACACAUGCUAAUAAAAUUUUAAAAUACCUGGCAUAUUUGAAGAAUAAUAACAAAAUAAACAGAUGUGGUUAAUACUAAUGAGUGAGGAGUCUUAGUGAGUGAGGCAAGAUGCUAUCUCAGACAAGGUCCUAUAGAUAACAGUCAAGAGUAUGGAAAAUUCUCUUAUUCAAUAAUGAGCCAUCAGAGAGUUUUAAGCAAGGUCUUGUACUGAUCUGAUUCACAUUUUUGGAAGAUGACACAUGAUCAUAAUCCAAAACUCAGUUUACUACAGGAGGCAGGCCAGUAGCCUAAUGAGUCAUGUGGGUUUGAUGUACACAAAUGGCAAUGUACUGAACUGAAG
This 1682-nucleotide long non-coding RNA is filed under the name Callithrix jacchus (white-tufted-ear marmoset). RNAcentral's name for it is "lncRNA (ENSCJAG00000074645.1)". The record is from RNAcentral. Lineage: Eukaryota; Metazoa; Chordata; Mammalia; Primates; Cebidae.